UUGCUUCUCUUGAGAGCGGCGGACGGGUGAGUAAUGCCUAGGAAUCUGCCUGGUAGUGGGGGAUAACGUUCGGAAACGGACGCUAAUACCGCAUACGUCCUACGGGAGAAAGCAGGGGACCUUCGGGCCUUGCGCUAUCAGAUGAGCCUAGGUCGGAUUAGCUAGUUGGUGGGGUAAUGGCUCACCAAGGCGACGAUCCGUAACUGGUCUGAGAGGAUGAUCAGUCACACUGGAACUGAGACACGGUCCAGACUCCUACGGGAGGCAGCAGUGGGGAAUAUUGGACAAUGGGCGAAAGCCUGAUCCAGCCAUGCCGCGUGUGUGAAGAAGGUCUUCGGAUUGUAAAGCACUUUAAGUUGGGAGGAAGGGCCGUUACCUAAUACGUGAUGGUUUUGACGUUACCGACAGAAUAAGCACCGGGCUAACUCUGUGCCAGCAGCCGCGGUAUACGAGGGUGCAAGCGUUAUCGGAUUACUGGGCGUAAAGCGCGCG
This 492-nucleotide ribosomal RNA is filed under the name Pseudomonas sp. RNAcentral's name for it is "bacterial SSU rRNA". It matches the Rfam family "Bacterial small subunit ribosomal RNA", at positions 80 to 571 of the family's 1533-position model. Lineage: Bacteria; Pseudomonadati; Pseudomonadota; Gammaproteobacteria; Pseudomonadales; Pseudomonadaceae. The record is from RNAcentral.